UUAUUGAUAAUUACGUGAUUCUCAAACCAGAAACCCUGGAUGACCAGCCAGAUCCGCACACUUCUCAAAGCCCGGGAUGCUGCCUUCAGGUCGGGCGACUGAGUUCUGUACAGGUCUGCUCAACCCGAUCUGAAAGAAGCUAAGACGGACCAUAAAAGUAGCAUAGAGUCCCACCUGUCCAGCAACAACACACGGGGGGUGUGGUUGGGCAUACAAGACAUCCUAAACCACAGAGGCUGCACUGUGAAAACAGGAAACUUAAGUGCGCCACUGCUGAAGGAGAUAAACACUGGAAGUAGAAGUACUGAGCAUCUCCAUCAUAGUCAGCAUUGGCAGUGAAAACAGAGAAGCAGGAAAGGAGGAGGGCUGAAACUGCACGUCAGAGGUGAUUUCACAAUUGUACUGAUGCUGUUGUGUGUAUAAAGAACGAUCAGCAGCUUUCAGCCAGCCAAACGCUGUCUAUACACACGAGGAAGAGAUGGAGACUAUGAAGACUCUGCUGAAGGUUUAUCUGCUGCUGCUGAUCGGAC
Oreochromis aureus is the source of this 530-nucleotide long non-coding RNA. RefSeq lists it as uncharacterized. The record is from RefSeq and is a predicted model, not a curated record. NCBI's taxonomy places the organism in Eukaryota, Metazoa, Chordata, Actinopteri, Cichliformes, Cichlidae. The transcript has 3 exons.